AGUGAGAGACCACCUUUUGAAAACCCCCAUUUAUCAAGCCACAUUUCAGUCUGGAAAUCUAAUUUGUUCAGUAAUAAAAUUAACUGGGAUCAUAACAAUUGAAAUGUCUGAAAGACUUUUACACUCCAUUCGUUAUUCUGAUCUGGAAUUGCUGUCAAUGCCAUCACCGACUAUCCUUCAAUGUGAGGGUGAUAUCUACUCCAGGUCAUGGCUUUCUCCAUGGGCCUUCAUGUGAUUGACCAGGCUGAUCCCCAACCCACAGAUCUUUUGGCAGUCUCUUCCAGCUGUGCAAUUCUUGAAAGUUCAACGUUCUGCCGAUUCUGGUCUCUCGCCCCUUUGCUAUAUUGCAGCUGUCCCCCCAACAGUCUAAGCCAUAACCACUG
Long non-coding RNA from Rhincodon typus (whale shark), 383 nucleotides. RefSeq lists it as uncharacterized. NCBI's taxonomy places the organism in Eukaryota, Metazoa, Chordata, Chondrichthyes, Orectolobiformes, Rhincodontidae. The record is from RefSeq and is a predicted model, not a curated record. The transcript has 3 exons.